GUGUCAAACCGGAGGAAGGCGGGGANGACGUCAAGUCCUCAUGGCCUUUAUGUCCAGGGCUGCACACGUGNUACAAUGGCGCACACAAAGUGAAGCGACUGCGCGAGCAGAAGCGAAUCACAAAAAUUGCGCCCCAGUUCAGAUCGCAGGCUGCAANUCGCCUGCGUGAAGCCGGAAUCGCUAGUAAUCGCGGAUCAGCACUGCCGCGGUGAAUGUGUUCCUGAGCCUUGUACACACCGCCCGUCAAGCCACCAAAGCGGGGGC
Molecule: ribosomal RNA, 264 nt
Filed under: uncultured bacterium
Lineage: Bacteria
Description: partial 16S rRNA
Rfam family: Bacterial small subunit ribosomal RNA
Source: RNAcentral